RNAcentral lists this ribosomal RNA (471 nucleotides) under uncultured bacterium. Its description in RNAcentral is "bacterial SSU rRNA". It matches the Rfam family "Bacterial small subunit ribosomal RNA", at positions 335 to 797 of the family's 1533-position model. The record is from RNAcentral.
ACUCCUACGGGAGGCAGCAGUGGGAAUAUUGCACAAUGGGCGCAAGCCUGAUGCAGCCAUGCCGCGUGUAUGAAGAAGGCCUUCGGGUUGUAAAGUACUUUCAGCAGUGAGGAAGGUGGAGUCGUUAAUAGCGGCCUCAUUUGACGUUAGCUGCAGAAGAAGCACCGGCUAACUCCGUGCCAGCAGCCGCGGUAAUACGGAGGGUGCGAGCGUUAUCCGGAUUUAUUGGGUUUAAAGGGUCCGUAGGCGGAUUAAUAAGUCAGUGGUGAAAUCCCAUCGCUUAACGAUGGAACUGCCAUUGAUACUGUUAGUCUUGAAUGAGGGUGCAGUGGUUGGAAUGUGUAGUGUAGCGGUGAAAUGCAUAGAUAUUACACAGAACACCGAUUGCGAAGGCAGAUCACUAACCCUAAAUUGACGCUGAGGGACGAAAGCGUGGGGAGCGAACAGGAUUAGAUACCCUGUAGUGUACUG